UUGAGCCUAGGUAUGGAAACGUACCGAGUGGUCGCUCUCAGAUUCAGGGAAACCUAGGAAAAAUCCGUUGGUUUUUGUAGAACCAUGAGGGUUCGAGUCCCUCUAUCCCCAACAAAUAAUAUAGGGGCAAAAGUGACAAAAUUCCUGGCUUGUAAGAGUUCGUUGGAGUA
RNAcentral lists this transfer RNA (170 nucleotides) under Lygodium japonicum. Its description in RNAcentral is "partial tRNA-Leu". Lineage: Eukaryota; Viridiplantae; Streptophyta; Polypodiopsida; Schizaeales; Lygodiaceae. The record is from RNAcentral.